Non-coding RNA from Chelonia mydas (Green sea turtle), 73 nucleotides. The record is from Rfam. Lineage: Eukaryota; Metazoa; Chordata; Testudines; Cheloniidae.
GUUUCCGUAGUGUAGUGGUUAUCACAUUCGCCUAACACGUGAAAGGUUCCCAGUUUGAAACUGGGUGGAAACA